This 678-nucleotide ribosomal RNA is filed under the name uncultured beta proteobacterium. Its description in RNAcentral is "bacterial SSU rRNA". It matches the Rfam family "Bacterial small subunit ribosomal RNA", at positions 77 to 751 of the family's 1533-position model. The record is from RNAcentral. Lineage: Bacteria; Pseudomonadati; Pseudomonadota; Betaproteobacteria.
UGCUUGCACCUGGUGGCGAGUGGCGAACGGGUGAGUAAUACAUCGGAACAUGUCCUGUAGUGGGGAUAGCCCGGCGAAAGCCGGAUUAAUACCGCAUACGAUCUACGGAUGAAAGCGGGGGACCUUCGGGCCUCGCGCUAUAGGGUUGGCCGAUGGCUGAUUAGCUAGUUGGUGGGGUAAAGGCCUACCAAGGCGACGAUCAGUAGCUGGUCUGAGAGGACGACCAGCCACACUGGGACUGAGACACGGCCCAGACUCCUACGGGAGGCAGCAGUGGGGAAUUUUGGACAAUGGGCGAAAGCCUGAUCCAGCAAUGCCGCGUGUGUGAAGAAGGCCUUCGGGUUGUAAAGCACUUUUGUCCGGAAAGAAAUCCUUGGUUCUAAUAUAGCCGGGGGAUGACGGUACCGGAAGAAUAAGCACCGGCUAACUACGUGCCAGCAGCCGCGGUAAUACGUAGGGUGCGAGCGUUAAUCGGAAUUACUGGGCGUAAAGCGUGCGCAGGCGGUUUGCUAAGACCGAUGUGAAAUCCCCGGGCUCAACCUGGGAACUGCAUUGGUGACUGGCAGGCUAGAGUAUGGCAGAGGGGGGUAGAAUUCCACGUGUAGCAGUGAAAUGCGUAGAGAUGUGGAGGAAUACCGAUGGCGAAGGCAGCCCCCUGGGCCAAUACUGACGCUCAUG